UCAAAAUCUAAAGCCCCCUCUUCACUUCAUCUUUCUCUCGCUCUCUCUGACCGCGAUCGCUCUCUCAUCCAAAUCCCUUUUCCUCUUCGUUUUCNGACUUAACGUCCGCACUUCUCUCUCUUUCUCUCAUCUCAGCCUCCUNCUCUCAUGUAGGGCGUCAAGGAUCUGGCCAAAAUGACGUUGUUCAUGAAUGAGAGCUAUGCAGACCGAAGGCUUCCUCACCAUCGCAACCCCAAAGAGUUUGUUCCAUUGGACCAUUUGGCAGAUCUUUGGGUGAUGGAGAAUCUGGGUCAAAGUUUUCGAGCCCGGUCACUGAAUCUAAUAGCCAGGAUGCAUCACUCAUUGCUUUCAGUUCCUACCCUCAAUGCUCCGUUGCUCAUGCGACACUACUUCUCUGCCCCUAGUUUCCUUGUCUCUAACUUUCCCAGCAACCAGGAAUUGGUGGAGCCGGUGACGCCAGACUAUGAUGAGGAGAGAGUCGAACAAUGUUGACGGGUCAUGGCGGUUGAACUUCGACGGUUUCCAGGUGUCCUCAGAGAGCACAAGGAGAAAAGACUUCCCCGUGGCCUCCAUGACUGCCUGGGGGNUUUAGUGCAGGAGAAGCUGCGUAAUAGUUGAAGCUGCCAUUAUGGUUUUUGUUGUAAAAAUUUCAAGGUUAAGGCAAUUCAAUUUUAGUUCUGUGUUUAUGACUUUUAUUGUAUAUUAGUUUCAUAGUUGGUCAUUUCAUAUUAAUAUUCUUUCAAUAGUUAAUAGCCACAUUUGUAUGAAAACUUGAUCAUAUUUGCACUGUAGUCUCUUAGGAAAAUGGAAAGGGAAAAAAAAAAAAAAAAAAAAAGGUAAGUCUUAAAGGAGAAAAAAUGAUUAGAAAGAGAUUCAAAUUUUCUGUUGUAAGUCCAGUUUAAUGGCCUUGUUGAAAUUAUAUAAAGACAAUAUCUAGUUUGAGGUUUCUUGUUUGUGGAUGUGGGUGUCCGAAUCUAACAAAGUUGUAAUUCCUUUCAUUGCGAAAUAAGGAAGUCAGUAUGGGUUUUCCUCAAAAUUUGGCCACUUGCCGAUCGAAUUGGACUUUGAGUCAAGCAAAAUAAGGAAAUUUAUACAAGAUUGCAAGUUGGCGUGAUGGAUGUUGAGACAUUGGAGUGCAAGCUGGCGUGAUGGCUUUUCCAAGUGGCUUUAUGAGUUUAUAAGGACUUAUUGUCCAAGUCCAAAUAGAAAAUAUUAGUUUAAUCAUUUACGAACUUUUAUAACAUUUGAAUUGUACCAUACAUUUGGCCAAGUUAUAAUAUUUCAAUUUUACCGUA
Prunus dulcis (almond) is the source of this 1295-nucleotide RNA transcript. RefSeq lists it as uncharacterized. NCBI's taxonomy places the organism in Eukaryota, Viridiplantae, Streptophyta, Magnoliopsida, Rosales, Rosaceae. The record is from RefSeq and is a predicted model, not a curated record. The transcript has 4 exons.